Molecule: microRNA, 22 nt
Filed under: Tribolium castaneum (red flour beetle)
Lineage: Eukaryota; Metazoa; Arthropoda; Insecta; Coleoptera; Tenebrionidae
Description: tca-miR-9c-5p
Gene: tca-miR-9c-5p
Source: miRBase by way of RNAcentral
UCUUUGGUGAUCUAGCCGUGUG